UGGGGAAUAUUGGACAAUGGGCGCAAGCCUGAUCCAGCCAUGCCGCGUGAGUGAUGAAGGCCCUAGGGUUGUAAAGCUCUUUCACCGGUGAAGAUAAUGACGGUAACCGGAGAAGAAGCCCCGGCUAACUUCGUGCCAGCAGCCGCGGUAAUACGAAGGGGGCUAGCGUUGUUCGGAUUUACUGGGCGUAAAGCGCACGUAGGCGGACUAUUAAGUCAGGGGUGAAAUCCCGGGGCUCAACCCCGGAACUGCCUUUGAUACUGGUAGUCUUGAGUUCGAGAGAGGUGAGUGGAAUUCCGAGUGUAGAGGUGAAAUUCGUAGAUAUUCGGAGGAACACCAGUGGCGAAGGCGGAUCACUGGAUAGAUACUGACGCUGAGGUGCGAAAGCGUGGGGAGCAAACAGG
Molecule: ribosomal RNA, 404 nt
Filed under: Actinomycetes bacterium
Lineage: Bacteria; Bacillati; Actinomycetota; Actinomycetes
Description: Actinobacteria bacterium partial 16S ribosomal RNA
Rfam family: Bacterial small subunit ribosomal RNA
Source: RNAcentral